This 450-nucleotide ribosomal RNA is filed under the name uncultured bacterium. RNAcentral's name for it is "partial 16S ribosomal RNA". It matches the Rfam family "Bacterial small subunit ribosomal RNA", at positions 354 to 796 of the family's 1533-position model. The record is from RNAcentral.
GUGGGGAAUUUUGGACAAUGGGCGCAAGCCUGAUCCAGCAAUGCCGCGUGCAGGAAGAAGGCCUUCGGGUUGUAAACUGCUUUUGUACGGAACGAAACGGUCCUGGUUAAUACCUGGGGCUAAUGACGGUACCGUAAGAAUAAGCACCGGCUAACUACGUGCCAGCAGCCGCGGUAAUACGUAGGGUGCGAGCGUUAAUCGGAAUUACUGGGCGUAAAGCGUGCGCAGGCGGUGCUGUAAGACAGGCGUGAAAUCCCCGGGCUCAACCUGGGAAUUGCGCUUGUGACUGCAGUGCUGGAGUACGGCAGAGGGGGAUGGAAUUCCGCGUGUAGCAGUGAAAUGCGUAGAUAUGCGGAGGAACACCGAUGGCGAAGGCAGUCCCCUGGGCCUGCACUGACGCUCAUGCACGAAAGCGUGGGGAGCAAACAGGAUUAGAAACCCGAGUAGUCC